CUCCAAGAGGAAGCCAGGACAAGGAUUAUGGCCUCCUUUUACUGAUGAGGAAAUAAAUAGAGGCCCAGAGAACCAGGGGGCUGGCUGGAAACAAAGUGAGGACAGUCAGAGGCCCGGGAGCCUGCUUCUCCUUCACUCCAUCCUCUCCCAGGUGGGGGCUCAAUGAGGGGGAGGGGCUGCUUCCUUUCCUCCUCUGUGCCCUCCCAGAUUUCCCAGAGUGCACCUGUGGCCUUUGGCCCCCACCCCCACCGAAGAGCCUGUGGGGGCCGCUCAGCAAGAAGGAAAUUCAGUGGCGCAUCUGCCCACAUUCUGGAAGGACCCCUGGUCCCCUUCUGUCAGCCCUCCCACCUGCCUCCCUCCUCGUGCCGCUCCUCUGAUCCCUCACUCCACUCCGGCUCCUGCGGCGCUGACGGAGCGGGGUGGGGGGAGUUGCUGCGUCUGGGGGUGUAAGAACCUUAGAUGUCACGGAGCUUGGAAUUGUGCCAACGGGCAGGCUGAAGGGGCCUUAAAGUGCUGCCAAGCCCUCCUCAUGCCACACCAGCUUCCCUGCAGAGCCAGGAUGGGGACCCCGAUGUCUGCCCUGUGGGCUGGAGCAGGCGGCGACUCUGUCCUGGCUGUGAGAUCUCCUCCACCGCCCCUGACUCCUACCCUGUCAGGCCCACCCCCAGUCUCUUAUCACCGCUGGAGGGGAAUCUGAGCAAUCCCCUACGGGGUGACAACCUGCAACUACAUGGCAUCGUGCACGUGGAUCCACUGCAGCAUGGAGCGGGGUCUGCAUCAGGAAAGACACUCCUCCUCUUCCCCCGGCCGCAGGCUGGAGUGCAGUGGCGUGAUCUCGGCUCGCUACAACCUCCAC
RNAcentral lists this long non-coding RNA (856 nucleotides) under Homo sapiens (human). RNAcentral's name for it is "HSALNT0406042". The record is from RNAcentral. Lineage: Eukaryota; Metazoa; Chordata; Mammalia; Primates; Hominidae.